This 790-nucleotide ribosomal RNA is filed under the name uncultured bacterium. Its description in RNAcentral is "bacterial SSU rRNA". It matches the Rfam family "Bacterial small subunit ribosomal RNA", at positions 66 to 847 of the family's 1533-position model. The record is from RNAcentral.
ACGGUAGCACAGAGAGCUUGCUCUCGGGUGACGAGUGGCGGACGGGUGAGUAAUGUCUGGGAAACUGCCUGAUGGAGGGGGAUAACUACUGGAAACGGUAGCUAAUACCGCAUAACGUCGCAAGACCAAAGAGGGGGACCUUCGGGCCUCUUGCCAUCAGAUGUGCCCAGAUGGGAUUAGCUAGUAGGUGGGGUAACGGCUCACCUAGGCGACGAUCCCUAGCUGGUCUGAGAGGAUGACCAGCCACACUGGAACUGAGACACGGUCCAGACUCCUACGGGAGGCAGCAGUGGGGAAUAUUGCACAAUGGGCGCAAGCCUGAUGCAGCCAUGCCGCGUGUAUGAAGAAGGCCUUCGGGUUGUAAAGUACUUUCAGCGGGGAGGAAGGUGUUGUGGUUAAUAACCGCAGCAAUUGACGUUACCCGCAGAAGAAGCACCGGCUAACUCCGUGCCAGCAGCCGCGGUAAUACGGAGGGUGCAAGCGUUAAUCGGAAUUACUGGGCGUAAAGCGCACGCAGGCGGUCUGUCAAGUCGGAUGUGAAAUCCCCGGGCUCAACCUGGGAACUGCAUUCGAAACUGGCACGCUAGAGUCUUGUAGAGGGGGGUAGAAUUCCAGGUGUAGCGGUGAAAUGCGUAGAGAUCUGGAGGAAUACCGGUGGCGAAAGGCGGCCCCCUGGACAAAGACUGACGCUCAGUGCGAAAGCGUGGGGAGCAACAGGAUUAGAUACCCUGGUAGUCCACGCCGUAAACGAUGUCGACUUGGAAGUUGUGCCCUUGAAGGCGUUGCUUCC